GAUGAAGAACGUAGCGAAAUGCGAUAAGUAAUGUGAAUUGCAGAAUUCAGUGAAUCAUCGAGUCUUUGAACGCACAUUGCGCCCCCUGGUAUUCCGGGGGGCAUGCCUGUCCGAGCGUCAUUGCUGCCCUCAAGCACGGCUUGUGUGUUGGGCCCCCGUCCCCGGUUCUCCCCGGGGACGGGCCCGAAAGGCAGCGGCGGCACCGCGUCCGAUCCUCGAGCGUAUGGGGCUUUGUCACCCGCUCUGUAGGCCCGGCCGGCGCCAGCCGACACCCCAGCUUUAUUUUCUAAGGUUGACCUCGGAUCAGGUAGGGAUACCCGCUGAACUUAAGCAUAUCAAUAAGCGGAGGA
RNAcentral lists this unclassified non-coding RNA (350 nucleotides) under soil metagenome. RNAcentral describes it as "partial contains 5.8S ribosomal RNA, internal transcribed spacer 2, and large subunit ribosomal RNA". The stretch from base 1 to 120 matches the Rfam family "5.8S ribosomal RNA", at positions 35 to 154 of the family's 154-position model. The record is from RNAcentral.